This 326-nucleotide ribosomal RNA is filed under the name uncultured Chloroflexota bacterium. RNAcentral's name for it is "bacterial SSU rRNA". It matches the Rfam family "Bacterial small subunit ribosomal RNA", at positions 28 to 351 of the family's 1533-position model. Lineage: Bacteria; Bacillati; Chloroflexota. The record is from RNAcentral.
GAUGAACGCUGGCGGCGUGCCUAAUACAUGCAAGUCGAACGUGAGCCUUGUUUUCGGACGAGGUGAAAGUGGCGCACGGGUGAGUAACACGUAGCUGACCUGCCCUUCAGAGGGGGACAACUGCUGGAAACGGCAGCUAAUACCCCAUACGCUCACCGGGAUUAGCAGGCGGUGAGGAAAAGCUGAGGUGCUGAGGGAGGGGGCUGCGGCCCAUCAGCUAGUUGGCAGGGUAACGGCCUACCAAGGCGACGGACGGGUAGGGGGCCUGAGAGGGUCGACCCCCCACACUGGGACUGAGAGACGGCCCAGACUCCUACGGGAGGCAG